RNAcentral lists this ribosomal RNA (24 nucleotides) under Pseudallescheria africana. RNAcentral describes it as "Petriellopsis africana partial 18S ribosomal RNA". The record is from RNAcentral. Lineage: Eukaryota; Fungi; Ascomycota; Sordariomycetes; Microascales; Microascaceae.
UGGUAACCAGCGGAGGGAUCAUUA